AGUGAACGCUGGCGGUAGGCCUAACACAUGCAAGUCGAACGGCAGCACAGUAAGAGCUUGCUCUUACGGGUGGCGAGUGGCGGACGGGUGAGGAAUACAUCGGAAUCUACUUUUUCGUGGGGGAUAACGUAGGGAAACUUACGCUAAUACCGCAUACGACCUACGGGUGAAAGCAGGGGAUCUUCGGACCUUGCGCGAUUGAUUGAGCCGAUGUCGGAUUAGCUAGUUGGCGGGGUAAAGGCCCACCAAGGCGACGAUCCGUAGCUGGUCUGAGAGGAUGAUCAGCCACACUGGAACUGAGACACGGUCCAGACUCCUACGGGAGGCAGCAGUGGGGAAUAUUGGACAAUGGGCGCAAGCCUGAUCCAGCCAUCCCGCGUGGGUGAAGAAGGCCUUCGGGUUGUAAAGCCCUUUUGUUGGGAAAGAAAAGCAGCAGGUUAAUACCCCGCUGUUCUGACGGUACCCAAAGAAUAAGCACCGGCUAACUUCGUG
Molecule: ribosomal RNA, 492 nt
Filed under: uncultured bacterium
Lineage: Bacteria
Description: partial 16S ribosomal RNA
Rfam family: Bacterial small subunit ribosomal RNA
Source: RNAcentral